RNAcentral lists this ribosomal RNA (744 nucleotides) under Bacillus thuringiensis. RNAcentral's name for it is "bacterial SSU rRNA". It matches the Rfam family "Bacterial small subunit ribosomal RNA", at positions 46 to 772 of the family's 1533-position model. The record is from RNAcentral. Lineage: Bacteria; Bacillati; Bacillota; Bacilli; Caryophanales; Bacillaceae.
GUCUAUACUGCAUGUCGAGCGAUGGAUUAAGAGCUUGCUCUUAUGAAGUUAGCGGCGGACGGGUGAGUAACACGUGGGUAACCUGCCCAUAAGACUGGGAUAACUCCGGGAAACCGGGGCUAAUACCGGAUAACAUUUUGAACCGCAUGGUUCGAAAUUGAAAGGCGGCUUCGGCUGUCACUUAUGGAUGGACCCGCGUCGCAUUAGCUAGUUGGUGAGGUAACGGCUCACCAAGGCAACGAUGCGUAGCCGACCUGAGAGGGUGAUCGGCCACACUGGGACUGAGACACGGCCCAGACUCCUACGGGAGGCAGCAGUAGGGAAUCUUCCGCAAUGGACGAAAGUCUGACGGAGCAACGCCGCGUGAGUGAUGAAGGCUUUCGGGUCGUAAAACUCUGUUGUUAGGGAAGAACAAGUGCUAGUUGAAUAAGCUGGCACCUUGACGGUACCUAACCAGAAAGCCACGGCUAACUACGUGCCAGCAGCCGCGGUAAUACGUAGGUGGCAAGCGUUAUCCGGAAUUAUUGGGCGUAAAGCGCGCGCAGGUGGUUUCUUAAGUCUGAUGUGAAAGCCCACGGCUCAACCGUGGAGGGUCAUUGCAAACUGGGAGACUUGAGUGCAGAAGACGAAAGUGGAAUUCCAUGUGUAGCGGUGAAAUGCGUAGAGAUAUGGAGGAACACCAGUGGCGAAUGCGACUUUUCUGCUCUGUAACUGACACUGAGGCGCGAAAGCCUGGGGAGCAAA